This 1185-nucleotide long non-coding RNA is filed under the name Ursus thibetanus thibetanus. RNAcentral describes it as "lncRNA (ENSUTTG00000012964.1)". The record is from RNAcentral. Lineage: Eukaryota; Metazoa; Chordata; Mammalia; Carnivora; Ursidae.
AUGCCUCCUGGGGACUCUCAGAUGGCGGGCCGAAGGCCUGAAGUUGCUUUCCAAGGAGUAAACCAGUGCAGCCGGGCCUCCGGACCGAAGCCUCGCCCCGGACCAGCCACUCCAAAAGUACUGAAGCGGGUGGCCAGCUUUGUUAGGAAGGCCACGUCCUGCCCUCGUCACAUGUUUGACAUGGCACUAGGGUACUGCAUGCAGCAGGUGCUGCCCCAGGACUUUGCCACCAAGCUUUCUUCACAAUUGUCAACAUGGCCUUCAGACUGGCCAGCGGAGCCAUCUGCUGGGUGGCCUUGAACCCAGGCAGGCCUCUCAGUGACUCUUCCAUGGCUCCAUCCCAACUCGCCACUUAGAGCUCCAGGAGCCACGAAGCAGGGUAAUCGUCUUUCCAAAACUCCGAGAGAAUGAAGGCAGAGAGCCCGAGGCCAGGUGGCUGCUCGCUGGGCACCACUGCUAGAAAAGCAAAGCAAAGAGACCAUGGGGCUGGGGAGGGAGCGAGCUACCAGGAAGUGCUGGCUCGACCAGGAGCACAGUUCGAGGUGAAAGCACCUUUCUGACCCGCCCUAUCACACCGUGUCCUUCCCCUGGACGCCACUCUGCCCCAGGAGAGGAGCUCGUGUUCUUCGUAAGCACAGUUCACUUGGUCAACCUUUUCCCACACUCGCCAUUCUACUGAGUGCUGGGGAGGGAGGCAGAUUCAGUUAAGACUACAAGAGUUUCGUCGGCGGUCCGACUAGAAGGCCAUACUACAGGGGUGACUGCUCCUGCUUGCCCUCGUGACCUGUGAGCCAGACCCCGCUCAUCAGAGACAGUGAAGGGAGUAAGCAGAACCCGAGUCUCCCUGUGUUGUGGGGAAAUCACAGCUCCUGCCGCCCUCCCCCUGGACGGUGUCCUUCGAUGCACGGACACAGACAACAGCAACUGGGAUUACCUGGGCUCCUUCCGUGGGGCCGCAGGCAAUUUGCAAAGCUCACAAGACCUCUCACCUCACAGAGUGCUAAGCACUAACAUCCAUGAGAGAGAAGGCUCAGGACUACUGGCUGCUGAGUAGAUGGAGGAGGGGAAGCCCCGAGGGCUAGGAUGAUAGGAACCGGCUUUAUCGUGUAUGGCCUCUCCCUGUCUACUGAGGAAGUCUGAAGGUUUCUCAAAGGGGCUUCUCGGGAGAGGGUGUGGGGUGUGGGG